Molecule: small nuclear RNA, 102 nt
Filed under: Alligator mississippiensis (American alligator)
Lineage: Eukaryota; Metazoa; Chordata; Crocodylia; Alligatoridae
Source: RNAcentral
UCGCUUUGGCAGCACAUAUACUAAAAUUGGAAUGAUACGAGAAGAUUAGCAUGGCCCCUGAGCAAGGAUGACAUGCAAAUUCAUGAAGCAUUCCAUAUUGUU